AGAACGAACGCUGGCGGCGUGUUUAAGACAUGCAAGUCGCACGGGGACAAGUUGAGUAGUAAUACGAUUCUUGUUUAGUGGCGCACGGGGUGAGUAGCACGUGAAUUACAUGCCCUAUAGUGGGGAAUAGCCCAGGGAAACUUGGAUUAACUACCCCAUGGUCUCGCAAGAGUAAAGGUGGCCGCAAGGCUGUCGCUAUAGGAUUGGUUCGCGCCCUAUCAGCUUGUUGGUGAGGUAACGGCUCACCAAGGCUACGACGGGUACCUGGUCUGAGAGGACGAUCAGGCACACUGGAACUGAGACCACGGUCCGAAGACACCGUACGGGUGGCAGACAGUCGGAAGAAUAACUUCAACAAGUUACGGGGGGACCAAACCCUGGAGUGGGUA
RNAcentral lists this ribosomal RNA (389 nucleotides) under uncultured soil bacterium. RNAcentral's name for it is "bacterial SSU rRNA". It matches the Rfam family "Bacterial small subunit ribosomal RNA", at positions 26 to 427 of the family's 1533-position model. The record is from RNAcentral.